Long non-coding RNA from Gossypium arboreum, 1149 nucleotides. RefSeq lists it as uncharacterized. The record is from RefSeq and is a predicted model, not a curated record. NCBI's taxonomy places the organism in Eukaryota, Viridiplantae, Streptophyta, Magnoliopsida, Malvales, Malvaceae. The transcript has 2 exons.
AAACCAUAGAUUUUUAUUCCCAGAAUCUUGAUAGAUUGACAGUAACACCUUUUUCUUUUUCUGGCUUUUUCUCUAUUGGGUAGAGGAGAAUAAAAAAACAUUAGCUAUUAAAGAUAACAUCACUUCUUGAUUAACACAUGAUUCCAUAGGUUUUGAAAAAAAAUGGAAACACAUGAUUUCAUAGCUUUUUCACCAAUUUUAAUAUCAUUUUCAAGUCCAUGACGGUAAAAAGAUGGCAACCAUCGGCUCCUCCUCGAUGGGUUAAGAUCAACAGGGAUGGUUCAGUGUUAAGAAGCAGAUCAAGGGCGGCAAUAGGUGAGGUGGUGAGAGGCUUGGGCUGUCCUAGAAGGUCUGAAACUAACUUGGGGUCGAUGCUUUAGACAAGUGGAAUUGGAAAGUUGUUCGAAACAAUCUAGCAGCAUUUGCGCUAGAUUUGAAGCCUCCUCUCUCUUUGAAGAUUGAUUGUUUUUAUUGAGCUUAUUGGUUGAAUUUUGAUUGGGUUUUCAUGAUGGGUUAGGUGAGUCUUUGACAAGAUUGGGGCUAGAAGAUGGAAUCGGGUAAUGGGUUGGGGGACGAUCGUGGUGGGUAUGGGAAUCGAGUGGGGCUUUGAGGUUGUGUGGUUAGUGUAAUGGUGGUGGGCAGUGUAAGUUGUAGUAUUUAGGGUUAAAGACGGUGUGGGAAUCAAGAGAAGGGAUUGGAUGUUUUAAAGGGAUGUGAGUGGUGCAGUUUAGAGAGGGGGCGAGAGUGAAAAUUGGUGUUGUUGGGAGGAGGAGAUGGUGAGCAGUGGAGGUGUGGGAGAUUAGGAGAGUGGUAAGGUUGAUGGUGAUCCAAAUAAUGGAGAAGGCAAAGAGGCAAAAGAGAGGAGGAGGAAGACUCUGUUGGUGCCAGUGAUCGGAUUAAGUAAUUGGAAGUCUGGUCGACAGCCGCGGCGACCAAAAGGGAGUUCGUUUCAAUUUAAUUUAUUUAUUUUUAAAAAAUGAUUUUGACCUUAAAAAUGAAAAUGGAUAAUUUCUACCAAGUCCCUAUGGUCAGAACGUUCAAUUUUUGCUGUGGCCCACAAGGCCAUGUGGCAUUAUAACAGUGGGCCACAAGUCAUUUAUUGUCAGAACUUAACACCGGAAAAAUAGUAUAGAUACCAAAUUGGAUAAA